This 397-nucleotide ribosomal RNA is filed under the name uncultured bacterium. RNAcentral describes it as "partial 16S ribosomal RNA". It matches the Rfam family "Bacterial small subunit ribosomal RNA", at positions 523 to 918 of the family's 1533-position model. The record is from RNAcentral.
AUACGUAGGUGACAAGCGUUAUCCGGAUUUACUGGGCGUAAAGGGCGUGUAGGCGGUCUUGCCAGUCUGAAGUGAAAUUCCUGAGCUCAACUCGGGCGCUGCUUCUGAAACUGCAGGACUUGAGUGCUGGAGGGGAUAGCGGAAUUCCUAGUGGAGCGGUAAAAUGCGCAGAUAUUAGGAAGAACACCGGUGGCGAAGGCGGCUAUCUGGACAGUAACUGACGCUGAGGCGCGAAAGCGUGGGGAGCAAACAGGAUUAGAUACCCUGGUAGUCCACGCGGUAAACGAUGAAUGCUAGGUGUUGCGGGUAUCGACCCCUGCAGUGCCGGAGUAAACACAAUAAGCAUUCCGCCUGGGGAGUACGGCCGCAAGGUUGAAACUCAAAUGAAUUGGCGGGG